This is a long non-coding RNA of Cannabis sativa, 1700 nucleotides long. RefSeq lists it as uncharacterized. The transcript has 3 exons. The record is from RefSeq and is a predicted model, not a curated record. Lineage: Eukaryota; Viridiplantae; Streptophyta; Magnoliopsida; Rosales; Cannabaceae.
GGUUUGACCCAGUCAAACCGAGUAUAUAUAUAAUUAAAUAAAUAUUAUAUAAUAUAUAUGUAUAAAAAAAUAUAUUUUAUAUAUACAGGAAAUAGUGUUGUCGUCCCUCUCUCUCUCUAUUUAUCUAUAUCCUUUUCUCUCUCUUCAAACACAAACUCAAAAUAAAAUCCACAAACUACCAUCACCACCACACUUCGGCAACCAACCUCCGACGAUCGCCCGACCCCACGUGCCUGACAGAAUGGAACUCUACGCGGCGACCUCACCCCCUAAGCGCCGCCGCUCCUUUCGCCACCGUUAGCUCGGGAUCGCAAGUCAAAGUUUGGGGUUUCAAACUUUGAACGGAUUUUCCAGUCACCUCCGGCGUCCGUUUGACGAGAGGUUUUCACCACUAAACUCAGCUCGUCGAGGAGAAAAACCUACACUAAACCAUUUUUCCCGGUUCGCUACUUUUUCUGGUGACAUUUUUGUAGCUCCGCCCCUUUCCAGCGACUUUCCGGUGACAUCGUGUACCGUUUUGACAAACGGUUGGCAUGGGUGUGAUCUACUCGUCGAGAUGGUCGUUUUGAUAUAUACUACGCCUAUUUUUGACGACGUUUCCGGUACACCGAUUUUUACCGCCACCGAUUUGUUAAUGUGCACCGCUUAGGGGAGAGUAAUAUGUAAGAUUGGACUAAAACAAUUGGAGCUCGGGACUUGAGAGCUUAAGAUUGUAUUUUGGAUAAAGUUUAACGACUCGGGAGAGGAACUCAGUUUGAUGCUAGUGGAUGAGGAUGGUACCGUUGGGAAAGGAAGUCGUUAUUAGUUUAGUCUUAUUCUACUCUUUAAUCUUUUAAUGAAACUUAUUUUGUAUUUAAGUUGAAAUGGAUGGUCUGGAUGACACAAAUUAGCUAUGUACUAGUUAGAAAUGAGGAAUGAUGGAUGCUAGGUAUUAUUUUGGUAUUUUAUUGACUUAUUUGAUUACAUAACUGUGGGGAUAUUAUUUUUCUUUUAUAUUGAUGAGUGAACCUGAUUUUGUUACUAAUAUUUUCUUAUUAAUACAUGAGUUAAUCCAUUACUUUUAAGCUAGUAUUUUGUGAUAUAAAUUAAAGGAUCAUUUAUAAGCUUUAUCUUACAACAAGGGUCAAAGUGUGACCUUUAACCACCCAAGUUAUGGAUAUUACAUAUCCUCUAGUUUGAAUAACCUUGUAAAAUUACUAUUUUCACAUUAUAAAAACUCCAACUUCUAUAAAUAGUGGAGAAAGAUACUAUUUCACCAAUCGAAUUAGAGAUAAUAUUUUAUAGAAAUGGUAAUCAUAGAAUUUUAUUAAUGUGAGGGGGAAUUAUUGGGUAAAUACUAUUUUGGAUUGUAAAAGUUACUGAUUGGACCCUUUAUUUUGUUAAAUGAUAAAAUGAACCUUGUAUUUUCCAAAAUAAUAAAAAUAAAAGACCUUGAACUUAAUUUUCGAUAAUUUUUUUUUUAAUAUAAUCAACUUGAAAAUAAUUCUUAAUACAAACAGAAAUAGAAAAUAUAGAUCAUUUUGUCAUCACCUCUAGAUCGGAUUAUUAUUAAGUUUUAUUUAAACAAAAAAAAAAAUCAAUUCAGGAUCCUCUUUGUACCAUUUUAAAAGGCAAUAUACUCAUUUGGUUAGUACCUUGUGUUUUUAUGAAAAACAUGUUUGGUACCCUGUGUUUUUAAUAAUACUUAAUUGGUAUCUCAU